RNAcentral lists this transfer RNA (89 nucleotides) under Candidatus Zixiibacteriota bacterium. Its description in RNAcentral is "candidate division Zixibacteria bacterium tRNA-Ser". It matches the Rfam family "tRNA". From Rfam's summary of the family: Transfer RNA (tRNA) molecules are approximately 80 nucleotides in length. Lineage: Bacteria; Pseudomonadati; Candidatus Zixiibacteriota. The record is from RNAcentral. RNAcentral also lists the same sequence under 1 other name.
GGAGAGAUGGCUGAGCGGCUGAAGGCGGCGGAUUGCUAAUCCGUUGUAGGUUUUAUGGCCUACCCAGGGUUCGAAUCCCUGUCUCUCCG